AACCUAUUGUAGGAGAGCCACAAAAUACAAUUAUGAACCUGAAAAGGGGCAUAAUAUGACUCCUUUAAAGGGACACUUCACCCAUUUGCAUUAAGCUUUGUAUCAUUAGAACCCCAGUCAUAUUUUUGAAUGGUCGUGCAUCAUUCCCUCACUUCCCCUGAGAGGGGAGAAAUAUAACCGCCAUCUUGUUUGGAAGCUAAGCGGAGGCGCUGACGAGCCAGACGUUACGACUAUGGUAAUCAAUCUAAUAUGGAAGAAAUUUCGAAAGUAGUUGGUUGAAUCAGAUGUUCGUGGCUACCUUUAUGAGCCACAAUAUAGCGAAGAGCAGCUGAGGCUGAACAGGAGGCGGCUGAGGCUUCUGCAGCCGAGGCAGAGGACCUGCCCGUCGCGGACGAAGAGCCCGGACUGGCUCGAGCUGGGGCGGACUGCUGGUGCCUGUGCUCUCGCUGUGCGCCUACGGACACACGGACGUCUGACUGUAAAACAAUAUCGCUAACAGCCUUUCUGGAAUGGGUCCUGCAAGGCGAGAGAUUGGGUCGAGGCCAUCGUGUCGUUUUACCCGCUGAUGUGGUGCAGGCUAUCCGACAGAAAUAUCCAGCUCCAGAUGGCCAGUACUGCGGCACCGAGGAGUUGAGGACGCUCAGGAGGAACUAUAACUGUCAUUGUUAACAUAUUUAUUUUUGUUGUUGUUGAUAUAUUUCUAUACAUAAAUGGUUUACAUUCAUGUUGUUGUAGUCCUUGAUAGUGUUAGUGGGAGUGGCUUGUGGAGCUGUGCAUUGUGGGAGUUGUUGUCUUUAAUACAAAUGCGCCCUAAAGUCACUUUCUGUCUUUUCUCGGUCAAAUUGGCACCAAAUUCAAAAUGUAUGUUAAAUUUCAACUACAUAUAUAACCCACUUUCAAUAAAUAUUAAUGUUUCCACGGGUGAAAUGCUCCUUUAAAGCACUAGAACUAAAGCAACCUGUAAUGCAAAUGCUGGCCUGUGAGUAAUUGUUAUCUUACCUGUGAUGGAUUUGGGUUGGGUCUCUCAGCCCCUGGUCCUUGCAUGGUCUGGUGCUCUCCUAUAUUAACCACAUCGUCCUCAGCAGCUGAUCCAUUCUGAAGUUGGUACAAGUGUGUGGGAAGUUAGUCACUGAAUCUAGUGUUAUUUUGAUAUUGAGUGUGAUCUUAAAGCACUAGAAGUAAAGCAACCUGCUCCAACUAUUACACUCUGAAAUUUGAACAAUGUGUGUAGCUAGUUUGUUACGUUGUAGGAGUCAGUUCCUCUAAAUACGAAAUACCAAUAAACUAACAUAGUGAACAAAUGUG
Long non-coding RNA from Dicentrarchus labrax (European seabass), 1305 nucleotides. RefSeq lists it as uncharacterized. The record is from RefSeq and is a predicted model, not a curated record. The transcript is spliced from 2 exons. Lineage: Eukaryota; Metazoa; Chordata; Actinopteri; Moronidae.